UACCUGGUUGAUCCUGCCAGUAGUCAUAUGCUUGUCUCAAAGAUUAAGCCAUGCAGGUGUAAUUAUGAACUAUUUCAAACGGUGAAA
Molecule: ribosomal RNA, 87 nt
Filed under: Eucalyptus dawsonii
Lineage: Eukaryota; Viridiplantae; Streptophyta; Magnoliopsida; Myrtales; Myrtaceae
Description: partial 18S ribosomal RNA
Rfam family: Eukaryotic small subunit ribosomal RNA
Source: RNAcentral